GAUGAACGCUGGCGGCGUGCCUAAUACAUGCAAGUCGAGCGAACAGAUGAGGAGCUUGCUCCUCUGACGUUAGCGGCGGACGGGUGAGUAACACGUGGAUAACCUACCUAUAAGACUGGGAUAACUUCGGGAAACCGGAGCUAAUACCGGAUAAUAUAUUGAACCGCAUGGUUCAAUAGUGAAAGACGGUUUUGCUGUCACUUAUAGAUGGAUCCGCGCCGCAUUAGCUAGUUGGUAAGGUAACGGCUUACCAAGGCAACGAUGCGUAGCCGACCUGAGAGGGUGAUCGGCCACACUGGAACUUAGACACGGUCCAGACUCCUACGGGAGGCAGCAGUAGGGAAGCUGCCGCAAUGGGCGAAAGCCUGACGGAGCAACGCCGCGUGAGUGAUGAAGGUCUUCGGAUCUUAGAACUCUGUUAUUAGGGAAGAACAAAUGUGUAAGUAACUAUGCACGUCUUGACGGUACCUAAUCAGAAAGCCACGGCUAACUACGUG
Molecule: ribosomal RNA, 497 nt
Filed under: uncultured bacterium
Lineage: Bacteria
Description: partial 16S ribosomal RNA
Rfam family: Bacterial small subunit ribosomal RNA
Source: RNAcentral